This 1554-nucleotide ribosomal RNA is filed under the name Candidatus Omnitrophota bacterium. RNAcentral describes it as "partial 23S ribosomal RNA". It matches the Rfam family "Bacterial large subunit ribosomal RNA", at positions 1 to 1505 of the family's 2925-position model. The record is from RNAcentral. Lineage: Bacteria; Pseudomonadati; Candidatus Omnitrophota.
GGCCAAGCUAAUAAGGGUGUACGAUGGAUGCCCUGGCGAAGACGGGCGAUGAAGGGCGUGGCAAGCUGCGAUAAGCCCCGGUGAGGUGCAAGCGACCUUUGACCCGGGGAUUCCCGAAUGGGGCAACCCAUCCACUGCGAAGUGGAUAUCCUGUCGCAAGCAGGAAGCGAACCGAGGGAAGUGAACCAUCUCAGUACCUCGAGGAAAAGAAAAAAACUUGAUUCCCUCAGUAGCGGCGAGCGAAAGGGGAACAGCCCAAACCGAAUGAUGUUAUAGCAUAGCCGCGUUCAUCAUUCGGGGUUGUAGGACCUGGCAUGGAAGUGGCUAUACUUCCAGCAUGACACAACCUUUUGGGUUAGCCGAAUAAUCUGGAAAGAUUAGCCAUAGAAGGUGAAAGCCCUGUAAGCGAAAACUCAAAAGGCAUGCGUCAGGCACCUGAGUACCACGGAGGAACCGAGAAGCUCUGUGGGAAUCCACCACGACCACGUGGCAAGGCUAAAUACAUGUCUUCGACCGAUAGUGAACCAGUACCGUGAGGGAAAGGUGAAAAGAACCCCGGGAGGGGAGUGAAAUAGAACCUGAAAUCGUGCACCUACAAGCAGUCGGAGCCUGCUACUUCUGUAGCGGGUGACGGCGUGCCUAUUGAAGAAUGAGCCAGCGAGUUACUGGCGGUAGCAAGGUUAAUCCACCUAAGUGGAGGAGCCGUAGCGAAAGCAAGUGGUGCAAAUAGCGCCAAUUAGUUACCGUUAGUAGACCCGAAGCCAGGUGAUCUAUCCAUGGACAGGAUGAACCCUUCGUAACAGAAGGGGGAGGUCCGAACCGGUGACAGUUGCAAAUGUCUCGGACGAUCUGUGGAUCGGAGUGAAAGGCUAAUCAAACCUGGUUAUUGCUGGUUCUCCCCGAAAUGACUUUAGGGUCAGCCUCGGUCUAUAGAAUUGCGGAGGUAAAGCACUGACUGGGCAAGGUUUGAUUCCAUCAGACCAAGUCCUAUCAAACUCUGAAUUCCGCAAUUUGUUCACCGGGAGUGAGACUGUGAGGGCUAAGCUUCAUAGUCAAAAGGGACUCAGCCCAGACCAUCAGCUAAGGCCCCUAAAUCCAGACUAAGUGUCGAAGGAUGUGGGGUUGCAUAGACAACCAGGAGGUUGGCUUAGAAGCAGCCAUCCUUUAAAGAAAGCGUAACAGCUCACUGGUCGAUGUGAUCCUGCGCCCAAAAUUCAACGGGGCUCAAGUCUGGUGCCGAAGCUAUGGUUCAAUCAGCGCAUAGUUGAUUGAAGGUAGGGGAGCAUUCCCUGUGGUUGAAGCCGUUUCGUAAGGAACGGUAGACGUCAGGGAAGAGAGAAUGCUGGCAUGAGUAGCGAAAAUUCCGAUGAGAAUUCGGAACGCCGAAAGUCCAAGGUUUCCUGGGGAAGGUUCGUCCGCCCAGGGUUAGGCGGGAGCUAAGCCGAGGCCGAAAGGCGUAGGUGAUGCACAGCCGGUUAAUAUUCCGGCCCUAUCUGGUAUGCGUUUUUACCGAAGGGGGGACGGAGCGCAAUAGAGCAUCCGGUUUCUGGACAU